RNAcentral lists this transfer RNA (63 nucleotides) under Pinctada margaritifera. RNAcentral describes it as "tRNA-Ile". Lineage: Eukaryota; Metazoa; Mollusca; Bivalvia; Pterioida; Pteriidae. The record is from RNAcentral.
GUAAAGGUGCCUGAAAAAAAGGGCUGUCUUGAUGUGAUAGAAAUGGAUGUUUUCCCCUUUACU